RNAcentral lists this ribosomal RNA (624 nucleotides) under Glycomyces sp. TSTB0-50. RNAcentral describes it as "bacterial SSU rRNA". It matches the Rfam family "Bacterial small subunit ribosomal RNA", at positions 88 to 714 of the family's 1533-position model. Lineage: Bacteria; Bacillati; Actinomycetota; Actinomycetes; Glycomycetales; Glycomycetaceae. The record is from RNAcentral.
UGCUCGAGUGGCGAACGGGUGAGUAACACGUGGGUAACCUGUCCCCUUCUCUGGGAUAACCGUUGGAAACGGCGGCUAAUACCGGAUAUGACUCCAGGUCGCAUGAUUUGGGGUGGAAAGCUUUUGUGGUGGGGGUGGGGCUUGCGGCCUAUCAGCUGGUUGGUGGGGUGAUGGCCUACCAAGGCGGUGACGGGUAGCCGGCCUGAGAGGGCGGUCGGUCACAUUGGGACUGAGAUACAGCCCAGACUCCUACGGGAGGCAGCAGUGGGGAAUUUUGCGCAAUGGGGGGAACCCUGACGCAGCGACGCCGCGUGGAGGAUGACGGCUUUCGGGUUGUAAACUCCUUUUAUCCACAGCGAAGAUGUCGUUUUUGCGGCAUUGACGGUAGUGGUUGAAUAAGCGCCGGCUAACUACGUGCCAGCAGCCGCAGUAAGACGUAGGGCGCGAGCGUUGUCCGGAUUUAUUGGGCGUAAAGGGCUCGUAGGCGGCUCGUCGCGUCUGCCGUGAAAAGCUCCGGCUUAACCGGGGUCGUGCGGUGGAUACGGGCGGGCUGGAGGUAGCUAGGGGAGACUGGAAUUCUACGUGUAGCGGUGAAAUGCGCAGAUAUGUGGAGGAACACCGGUG